Molecule: ribosomal RNA, 487 nt
Filed under: uncultured Bacteroidota bacterium
Lineage: Bacteria; Pseudomonadati; Bacteroidota
Description: bacterial SSU rRNA
Rfam family: Bacterial small subunit ribosomal RNA
Source: RNAcentral
GAAGGUCCUCUGGAUUGUAAACUUCUUUUAUCUAUGAAGAAAUGUCCUGAUUCUUCGGGACUUGACGGUAAUAGAUGAAUCAGCACCGGCUAACUCCGUGCCAGCAGCCGCGGUAAUACGGAGGGUGCAAGCGUUAUCCGGAUUCACUGGGUUUAAAGGGUGCGUAGGUUGACCGGGAAGUCAGUGGUGAAAUACUCUACGCUUAACGAGAGAACUGCCGUUGAUACUAUCGGUCUUGAAUACGGUGGAGGCGGGCGGAAUGUGUCAUGUAGUAGUGAAAUACUUAGAUAUGACACAGAACACCUAUUGCGAAGGCAGCUCGCUACGCCGUCAUUGACACUGAGGCACGAAAGCGUGGGGAUCAAACAGGAUUAGAUACCCUGGUAGUCCACGCCCUAAACGAUGUUCACUCGAUCUCAGCGAUACACUGUUGGGGUCUAUGCAAAAGCACUAAGUGAACCACCUGGGGAGUACGAUCGCAAGAUUG